AGAGUUUGAUCAUGGCUCAGAACGAACGCUGGCGGCGUGGAUAAGACAUGCAAGUCGAACGGGCUUAAUUUCGGAGCAAUUCGAGAUUGAGCCAGUGGCGAACGGGUGCGUAACACGUGAGUCAUCUGCCCAAAAGUGGGGGAUAGCUCGCCGAAAGGCGAAUUAAUACCGCAUAUGCCCCGAAGCAAUUCGGGGUAAAGCCGGGGCAACCUGGCGCUUUUAGAGGAACUCGCGGCCUAUCAGCUUGUUGGUGAGGUAACGGCUUACCAAGGCAUCGACGGGUAGCUGGUCUGAGAGGACGACCAGCCACACUGGAACUGAGACACGGUCCAGACACCUACGGGUGGCAGCAGUCGAGAAUUUUUCUCAAUGGGGGAAACCCUGAAGGAGCGACGCCGCGUGGAGGAUGAAUGCUUUCGGGUUGUAAACUCCUGUCAUUUGGGAACAAAGCCUUACGUUAACUGCGUGGAGGUUUGAUAGUACCGAAAGAGGAAGAGACGGCUAACUCUGUGCCAGCAGCCGCGGUAAUACAGAGGUCUCAAGCGUUGUUCGGAUUCAUUGGGCGUAAAGGGCGCGUAGGCGGCGGGGUAAGUCGGGUGUGAAAUCUCAGAGCUCAACUCUGAAACUGCACUCGAUACUGCUCUGCUUGAGGACUGGAGAGGAGACUGGAAUUCACGGUGUAGCAGUGAAAUGCGUAGAUAUCGUGAGGAAGACCAGUGGCGAAGGCGGGUCUCUGGACAGUUCCUGACGCUGAGGCGCGAAGGCCAGGGGAGCAAACGGGAUUAGAUACCCCUGUAGUCC
This 801-nucleotide ribosomal RNA is filed under the name uncultured bacterium. RNAcentral describes it as "bacterial SSU rRNA". It matches the Rfam family "Bacterial small subunit ribosomal RNA", at positions 8 to 796 of the family's 1533-position model. The record is from RNAcentral.